UACAGAGGUCCCAAGCGUUGUUCGGAUUUACUGGGCGUAAAGGGUGCGUAGGUGGUGGACUAAGUCGGGUGUGAAAUCUCCGGGCUCAACCCGGAGCAUGCGUCCGAAACUGGUUCGCUAGAGGAUGGGAGGGGAGACUGGAAUUCUCGGUGUAGCAGUGAAAUGCGUAGAUAUCGGAAGGAACAUCAGUGGCGAAAGCGACUUCCUGGACCAAUACUGACGCUCAUGUGCGAAAGCGUGGGGAGCAAACAGG
Molecule: ribosomal RNA, 253 nt
Filed under: uncultured bacterium
Lineage: Bacteria
Description: partial 16S ribosomal RNA
Rfam family: Bacterial small subunit ribosomal RNA
Source: RNAcentral